UGCUUUUCAUAUUUAUCCGAAUAUUGCAUGGCUGGCGUUAAGCAGCAUUUUUUUCUCACUUUUGUUAAUAGUUCUCCAUCUGAAUUUGUGUGUAUUUCAAAAACUCAUCAAAUCAUAAAAUGGUUAUCCAGUUUUUUCAUAAAUUUUAGGUUUCCAGCAUCACUAAAGACACACGAUCAAGAGACAUAACGUCCAGUGCCAAAUAGUUCAUGCAUUGGUUUUAUAGAUUCUUUUUAUUAAUAUGAAUGUUAUGUGAUCAACGCCGGUUAUUAGUGAUUACCGUAAUUGCAAAUUUAAUUUGUACUGUAUAAAUUCGUUUUCUAGACUGUUGAUAGCGUAUUGUCCAGUUGCAAGUACUCUAUGCAUAUUUAGAGCGAAAUGGUUUUACAUUUGCUGUAUAAAUUAACUUUAGACUGUUGAUGGCAUAUUUCCAGUUGCAAGUAUUUCAUGCAUAUUUAGAGAGAAC
RNAcentral lists this long non-coding RNA (466 nucleotides) under Mytilus galloprovincialis (Mediterranean mussel). Lineage: Eukaryota; Metazoa; Mollusca; Bivalvia; Mytilida; Mytilidae. The record is from RNAcentral.